UACGAAGGGGGCUAGCGUUGCUCGGAUUCACUGGGCGUAAAGGGUGCGUAGGCGGUGAGGUAAGUCGGAUGUGAAAUCUCCGAGCUCAACUCGGAAAUGGCAUUGGAAACUACCUCGCUAGAGAGUUGGAGGGGGGACUGGAAUACUUGGUGUAGCAGUGAAAUGCGUAGAUAUCAAGUGGAACACCAGUGGCGAAGGCGAGUCCCUGGACAACUUCUGACGCUGAGGCACGAAAGCUAGGGGAGCAAACAGG
This 253-nucleotide ribosomal RNA is filed under the name uncultured bacterium. Its description in RNAcentral is "partial 16S ribosomal RNA". It matches the Rfam family "Bacterial small subunit ribosomal RNA", at positions 524 to 776 of the family's 1533-position model. The record is from RNAcentral.